This 67-nucleotide transfer RNA is filed under the name Marmota monax (woodchuck). RNAcentral describes it as "tRNA.Ala". The record is from RNAcentral. Lineage: Eukaryota; Metazoa; Chordata; Mammalia; Rodentia; Sciuridae.
GGUUAUGGCUCAGUGGUAGAGCGCUUUCCUUGCACGUGCAAGGCCCUGAGUUUGAUCCUCAGCACCA